Molecule: ribosomal RNA, 498 nt
Filed under: Escherichia coli
Lineage: Bacteria; Pseudomonadati; Pseudomonadota; Gammaproteobacteria; Enterobacterales; Enterobacteriaceae
Description: partial 23S ribosomal RNA
Rfam family: Bacterial large subunit ribosomal RNA
Source: RNAcentral
GAAGGUGUGCUGUGAGGCAUGCUGGAGGUAUCAGAAGUGCGAAUGCUGACAUAAGUAACGAUAAAGCGGGUGAAAAGCCCGCUCGCCGGAAGACCAAGGGUUCCUGUCCAACGUUAAUCGGGGCAGGGUGAGUCGACCCCUAAGGCGAGGCCGAAAGGCGUAGUCGAUGGGAAACAGGUUAAUAUUCCUGUACUUGGUGUUACUGCGAAGGGGGGACGGAGAAGGCUAUGUUGGCCGGGCGACGGUUGUCCCGGUUUAAGCGUGUAGGCUGGUUUUCCAGGCAAAUCCGGAAAACUAAGGCUGAGGCGUGAUGACGAGGCACUACGGUGCUGAAGCAACAAAUGCCCUGCUUCCAGGAAAAGCCUCUAAGCAUCAGGUAACAUCAAAUCGUACCCCAAACCGACACAGGUGGUCAGGUAGAGAAUACCAAGGCGCUUGAGAGAACUCGGGUGAAGGAACUAGGCAAAAUGGUGCCGUAACUUCGGGAGAAGGCACGCU